AUUGAGGGCAUGCUCGGUUGCGGGAAGUGUCGAACCUUCCGUAUAUGAUAGGGAUGGGACAGAAGGAGAGCGCGCGGGACACUGGCUCAUCUUUUUCCAGGGUCGUUCUAGGGUGGCAGGGCCCACCAGGGACGGCCUUUGCGCAUGCGCUGUUAGGGCCAGCCUUUGCGCUGGAGGAAGGGCCUGGUAUCUGUUGUCUCCUCUUAGAACCCUACUGAGCAGACAGCGCCCAAAGGCCUGCGUUCCGAGCUGACCACCACAAUACCACAGCCACGAUUUGGUGACAGACACACUUCUCAAUGAUUUGCAUGGCUAGCUCAUCCGGACGACAACGUAUGGCUAGGUCCUCCUUGUCCUUUGGGAGAAAUCUGAGACAGAGUUGUCCAUCCUGGCGGCUCUUCAGGAUUUUUCGGAAGAGGUUUUCCAAAAUGGUUGGUUGUGUGCAGGGUGCAUGCAGGUUCCAUCCCCAGGACUACAAAAACAAGAAUAUACAUAGCACAUGCAUAUUGCAUAAACUUUUCAUAGGACUUCAAGAUAAAGUCUAUGGAAAAUACGUUGGGUUAAGACCAAUUCCUGAAGGCGUUUUUAUACUAAUAGCAUUGUAAGCAUAAGGCUACAAGUAGUAAAAUGAUAAACGAGCCCAGAGGUUAUCCCUACAAAUUGAGGGGGCCUCCUUAUAUAUGUGUUUCUGCGUUCUCUGGUUCUUGGUGUGCU
This 714-nucleotide long non-coding RNA is filed under the name Mus caroli (Ryukyu mouse). Its description in RNAcentral is "lncRNA (MGP_CAROLIEiJ_G0034471.1)". The record is from RNAcentral. Lineage: Eukaryota; Metazoa; Chordata; Mammalia; Rodentia; Muridae.